Oncorhynchus gorbuscha (pink salmon) is the source of this 1100-nucleotide long non-coding RNA. RefSeq lists it as uncharacterized. The record is from RefSeq and is a predicted model, not a curated record. The transcript is spliced from 4 exons. Lineage: Eukaryota; Metazoa; Chordata; Actinopteri; Salmoniformes; Salmonidae.
CUCCCAACCUCCUCCAGUGCCAAGGACAACGGCUUGGAGGAAGAAGAGGAUGGCGGAGGACACAGAGGAGGACACAGCCGGGAAGAGAAGGCAACGUGAGCAGUGUGUCUGCGCCAAAAGCGGUUUGCUCGAGACGGGCCACAGCCGCUUCGGCAGCGAGGCGUUCUGCUCUGUUGCUGCAGGGGGAGUUGGUCCUCAAGUCCAAACCCCAGGCAGUAAAAGUGGCCGCUGACGGCCCCCCUGCUUCUGGUGCUCAGGGCCCUUCUGUGAGGACUAAGAAGUGGGAAGAAGUGGAGGCAGAGGAUCGAGCCCGCGUCGUCUCCGAGGGAGGUGACCCCGGUGCAGAGAUGGUCAUCCUGAGCCGGUGCACGGUUCGACAAGUACCGGGGUCAGACCUUCAAAUGGAUGAUGGAGAACGACGUGGGCUGCAUGGUGCACGUGGUAACAGUGCAUAAGAAGGAGAGCGAGCGAGAGGGCAGCGUUUCCCAGCAUCCCCUGAUGGGCCAACAAGGAGGCCUUGACUCGCUACUCGUGCGCCUAUCCGGCCUUCGCUGAGGCGGUCAGGUUCAACCGGACGCACGAGGAAGCUUAAGUCCUGUCCUCCCAGCCAGAUAUGUCAGGAGCUUGAGGACGCAGACACCCCGUUAUCCUGAGAGUGCGAUGGCCGCCUUGAUUGACUACAUUCAGCGCAGAGACCAGGAGGGGGUAGCUGCUGUGGCCAGGCCCGUCAGUAACACCCCCGUCAGUAACAACCGGCCCAACAGUGCGGCUACGGGAACUUCUCGGAGUGGAGUACCUGUACUCGUAGACUGGCAGAGUGCUGCAGGAUGUCAGCGCGGACCCUGACCUUCCGGAAGAGGCAGCCGCCGACGAGCAGCUUGACGAGGAGGACGAGGACUUUCAGGAGGAUGUGGACCAGACAGUCCACAUCCCUCAUGUCACUCCUAUGAGCGCCCCAUCCUCCAGCUCAGCGGCACCUCUGUCAGGGGAACCCGCUGACGCACCAGGUCUGGGUCAUCCAGUCCCACCGCCCUUUAAGACGGAAGCUCUUCUGAGGCCCCUGGUCGACACAGUCCUCCUCACCCUGACCCACUCCUCAG